This 253-nucleotide ribosomal RNA is filed under the name uncultured bacterium. RNAcentral describes it as "partial 16S ribosomal RNA". It matches the Rfam family "Bacterial small subunit ribosomal RNA", at positions 524 to 776 of the family's 1533-position model. The record is from RNAcentral.
UACGAAGGGGGCUAGCGUUGCUCGGAAUUACUGGGCGUAAAGCGCACGUAGGCGGUCUUCUAAGUCAGGGGUGAAAUCCCGGGGCUCAACCCCGGAACUGCCUUUGAUACUGAUAGUCUCGAGUCCGGAAGAGGUGAGUGGAAUUCCGAGUGUAGAGGUGAAAUUCGUAGAUAUUCGGAGGAACACCAGUGGCGAAGGCGGCUCACUGGUCCGGUACUGACGCUGAGGUGCGAAAGCGUGGGGAGCAAACAGG